CAAGCGGUGGAGCAUGUGGUUUAAUUCGAAGCUACGCGAAGAACCUUACCAGGUCUUGACAUACUAUGCAAAUCUAAGAGAUUAGACGUUCCCUUCGGGGACAUGGAUACAGGUGGUGCAUGGUUGUCGUCAGCUCGUGUCGUGAGAUGUUGGGUUAAGUCCCGCAACGAGCGCAACCCUUAUUAUCAGUUGCCAGCAUUAAGUUGGGCACUCUGGUGAGACUGCCGGUGACAAACCGGAGGAAGGUGGGGAUGACGUCAAAUCAUCAUGCCCCUUAUGACCUGGGCUACACACGUGCUACAAUGGAUGGUACAACGAGUUGCGAACUCGCGAGAGUAAGCUAAUCUCUUAAAGCCAUUCUCAGUUCGGAUUGUAGGCUGCAACUCGCCUACAUGAAGUCGGAAUCGCUAGUAAUCGCGGAUCAGCAUGCCGCGGUGAAUACGUUCCCGGGCCUUGUACACACCGCCCGUCACACCAUGAGAGUUUGUAACACCCAAAGUCGGUGGGGUAACCUUUUAGGAACCAGCCGCCUAAGGUGGGACAGAUGAUUAGGGUGAAGUCGUAACAAGGUAACCAAGGGCGAA
RNAcentral lists this ribosomal RNA (584 nucleotides) under uncultured Lactobacillus sp. Its description in RNAcentral is "bacterial SSU rRNA". It matches the Rfam family "Bacterial small subunit ribosomal RNA", at positions 926 to 1510 of the family's 1533-position model. The record is from RNAcentral. Lineage: Bacteria; Bacillati; Bacillota; Bacilli; Lactobacillales; Lactobacillaceae.